RNAcentral lists this ribosomal RNA (426 nucleotides) under uncultured bacterium. RNAcentral describes it as "bacterial SSU rRNA". It matches the Rfam family "Bacterial small subunit ribosomal RNA", at positions 355 to 796 of the family's 1533-position model. The record is from RNAcentral.
UGAGGGAUAUUGCACAAUGGGCGCAAGCCUGAUGCAGCGACGCCGCGUGGGUGAAGAAGGUCUUCGGAUCGUAAAGCCCUUUUCUGCGUGACGAGGAACAGACGGUAGCGCAGGAAGAAGUCUCGGCUAACUACGUGCCAGCAGCCGCGGUAAAACGUAGGAGGCGAGCGUUAUCCGGAGUUACUGGGCGUAAAGCGCGUGUAGGUGGUCUGGUAAGCUGGAUGUGAAAGUUCCCGGCUCAACCGGGGAAAGCCAUAGAGGACUGCCAGACUUGAGGGGGGUAGAGGGGCGUAGAAUUCCGGGUGUAGCGGUGAAAUGUGUAGAGAUCCGGAGGAAUACCAGAGGUGAAGACGGCGCCCUGGGCCCGACCUGACACUGAGACGCGAAAGCGUGGGGAGCGAACGGGAUUAGAUACCCCGGUAGUCC